Molecule: ribosomal RNA, 406 nt
Filed under: uncultured bacterium
Lineage: Bacteria
Description: partial 16S ribosomal RNA
Rfam family: Bacterial small subunit ribosomal RNA
Source: RNAcentral
AUUGAACGCUGGCGGCAGGCCUAACACAUGCAAGUCGAACGAGUGGCGGACGGGUGAGUAAGGUCGGGGAAACUGCCCGAUGGAGGGGGAUAACUACUGGAAAGGGUAGCUAAUACCGCAUACCAUCGGAGGUGCCGAGAUGGGAUUAGCUAGUUGGUGGGGUAACGGCUCACCUAGGCGACGAGCCCUAGCUGGUCUGAGAGGAUGACCAGCCACACUGGCACUGAGACACGGUCCAGACGCCUACGUGAGGCAGCAGUGGGGAAUAUUGCACAAUUGGCGCAAGCCUGAUGCAGCCAUGCCGCGUGUAUGAAGAAGGCCUUCGGGUUGUAAAGUUCUUUCAGCGAGGAGGCGUUACUCGCAGAAGAAGCCCCGGCUAACUCCGUGCCAGCAGCCGCGGUAAUAC